CCGGUUUGAAAAAACCGGAGCAUAGCCUAUAUUCCGGGUGCCGCCACGCGCGGCUAUGGCGAUAAAUGGCAUCGAAAUAAGCUCUUCGGACCCGGGGGCGGUACCCGGCGCCUCCACCAAAGCCCGCCAAGGAUGGUUUUUCGGCAGCGGCGGGUUUUGGCGGGGGCGAAACAGGUUCGACGGGGGGUGUAAAGGAUGGCUUUCGCCCGGCAUGGUUCCGCCGACAUCGGGCCAAAUCUAUAGUUGCCAACGACAACUAUGCUCCGGUUGCUCUCGCCGCGUAAUGCGGUGCUAGCGCCGAAAUCAAGCCCUUGAAGUUAGCCCUUCAAGGCGGGGUCCGGAGGCGCCUGGCAACAGAAGCCUCCACU
RNAcentral lists this transfer-messenger RNA (368 nucleotides) under Methylocapsa sp. It matches the Rfam family "Alphaproteobacteria transfer-messenger RNA". From Rfam's summary of the family: Bacterial tmRNA, also known as 10Sa RNA or SsrA, is named for its dual tRNA and mRNA-like properties. Its role is to liberate the mRNA from a stalled ribosome. To accomplish this part of the tmRNA is used as a reading frame that ends in a translation stop signal. Lineage: Bacteria; Pseudomonadati; Pseudomonadota; Alphaproteobacteria; Hyphomicrobiales; Beijerinckiaceae. The record is from RNAcentral.